This is a small nuclear RNA of Hibiscus syriacus, 119 nucleotides long. RefSeq annotates it as U5 spliceosomal RNA. The record is from RefSeq and is a predicted model, not a curated record. The transcript has a single exon. NCBI's taxonomy places the organism in Eukaryota, Viridiplantae, Streptophyta, Magnoliopsida, Malvales, Malvaceae.
GAGCCGAGUGGUGAGCACAAAACGAACUAUUCUUUCGCCUUUUACUAAAGAAUACCGUGUGUUCUCCACUUGAAACGGCAUACGCCUAUUUUUGGAAGGGUAUUCCUCGUUGAAUGCCC